This 257-nucleotide long non-coding RNA is filed under the name Elaeis guineensis (African oil palm). RNAcentral's name for it is "long non-coding RNA (EGUI_LNC069166)". The record is from RNAcentral. Lineage: Eukaryota; Viridiplantae; Streptophyta; Magnoliopsida; Arecales; Arecaceae.
CAUCUUUCAAUGGUGAUCCAUAGAAAAAUUGAACCAAAGACAGCACUCCUUCUUCUUGCUUCAAGAGUUCUAGCCUCUAGAACUCGACUAGCCCUAUAUCGGUCAGGUUUCUCUAAGAACCUAACUCAACCCUCUAAGACCCUCCUUUGGACUUCUGAUUUCUCUUCUUUAGAACCCUCACAAUCUUUAUUUGGAUCAGAUAAGGCUUUGUCUUAAAUGCCAAAGUCUUGUCCUAAAACUAAGAUAGACUGUAAGAA